Molecule: non-coding RNA, 127 nt
Organism: Lingula anatina
Lineage: Eukaryota; Metazoa; Brachiopoda; Lingulata; Lingulida; Lingulidae
Source: Rfam
GUCAGGAUGGCCGAGCGGUCUAAGGCGCCAGACUCAAGGUUGUACAUGGGCUACCUUGCCUUCUGUCAGAAGGUACGAGUGUUCUGGUCCACGAAUGUGGGCGUGGGUUCGAAUCCCACUUCUGACA